RNAcentral lists this long non-coding RNA (409 nucleotides) under Nicotiana tabacum (common tobacco). Its description in RNAcentral is "long non-coding RNA (NTAB_LNC010393)". The record is from RNAcentral. Lineage: Eukaryota; Viridiplantae; Streptophyta; Magnoliopsida; Solanales; Solanaceae.
UAAAAGGAAAAGUUCAGUUUAGGGUUUAAAACCCUGAUGCUGACUAAAGGAAAAUUCAGUUUAGGGUUUAAAACCCUAAUGCUGAUUGCAUGGAAAAGCUCAGUUUAGAGUUUAAAACUCUAAUGUUGGCUAAAAGGAAAAGUUCAGUUUAGGGUUUAAAACCCUAAUGCUGACUAAAGGAAAAUUCAGUUUAGGGUUUAAAACCCUAAUGCUGAUUGCAUGGAAAAGCUCAGUUUAGAGUUUAGAACUCUAAUGCUGGCUGAAAGGAAAAAGUUCAGUUUAGGGUUUAAAACCCUAAUGCUGAUUGCAUGGAAAAGCUCAGUUUAGGGUUUAAAACCCUAAUGCUGAUUGCAUGGAAAAGCUCAGUUUAGAGUUUAAAACUCUAAUGCUGGCUAAAAGGAAAAAGUUC